RNAcentral lists this ribosomal RNA (203 nucleotides) under Escherichia coli. RNAcentral's name for it is "partial 16S ribosomal RNA". It matches the Rfam family "Bacterial small subunit ribosomal RNA", at positions 1 to 211 of the family's 1533-position model. Lineage: Bacteria; Pseudomonadati; Pseudomonadota; Gammaproteobacteria; Enterobacterales; Enterobacteriaceae. The record is from RNAcentral.
AAAUUGAAGAGUUUGAUAAUGGCUCAGAUUGAACGCUGGCGGCAGGCCUAACACAUGCAAGUCGAACGGUAACAGGAAGCAGCUUGCUGCUUUGCUGACGAGUGGCGGACGGGUGAGUAAUGUCUGGGAAACUGCCUGAUGGAGGGGGAUAACUACUGGAAACGGUAGCUAAUACCGCAUAACGUCGCAAGACCAAAGAGGGG